UUGAACGCUGGCGGCAUGCCUUACACAUGCAAGUCGCACGGCAGCACGGGUGCUUGCACCUGGUGGCGAGUGGCGAACGGGUGAGUAAUACAUCGGAACAUGUCCUGUAGUGGGGGAUAGCCCGGCGAAAGCCGGAUUAAUACCGCAUACGAUCUACGGAUGAAAGCGGGGGACCUUCGGGCCUCGCGCUAUAGGGUUGGCCGAUGGCUGAUUAGCUAGUUGGUGGGGUAAAGGCCUACCAAGGCGACGAUCAGUAGCUGGUCUGAGAGGACGACCAGCCACACUGGGACUGAGACACGGCCCAGACACCUACGGGAGGCAGCAGUGGGGAAUUUUGGACAAUGGGCGAAAGCCUGAUCCAGCAAUGCCGCGUGUGUGAAGAAGGCCUUCGGGUUGUAAAGCACUUUUGUCCGGAAAGAAAUCCUUGGCCCUAAUACGGUCGGGGGAUGACGGUACCGGAAGAAUAAGCACCGGCUAACUACGUG
This 485-nucleotide ribosomal RNA is filed under the name uncultured bacterium. RNAcentral describes it as "partial 16S ribosomal RNA". It matches the Rfam family "Bacterial small subunit ribosomal RNA", at positions 30 to 507 of the family's 1533-position model. The record is from RNAcentral.